GAUGAACGCUGGCGGCGUGCCUAAUACAUGCAAGUCGAGCGAACAGACGAGGAGCUUGCUCCUCUGACGUUAGCGGCGGACGGGUGAGUAACACGUGGAUAACCUACCUAUAAGACUGGGAUAACUUCGGGAAACCGGAGCUAAUACCGGAUAAUAUAUUGAACCGCAUGGUUCAAUAGUGAAAGACGGUUUUGCUGUCACUUAUAGAUGGAUCCGCGCCGCAUUAGCUAGUUGUUAAGGUAACGGCUUACCAAGGCAACGAUGCGUAGCCGACCUGAGAGGGUGAUCGGCCACACUGGAACUGAGACACGGUCCAGACUCCUACGGGAGGCAGCAGUAGGGAAUCUUCCGCAAUGGGCGAAAGCCUAACGGAGCAACGCCGCGUGAGUGAUGAAGGUAUUCGGAUAGUAAAACUCUGUUAUUAGGGAAGAACAAAUGUGUAAGUAACUAUGCACGUCUUGACGGUACCUAAUCAGAAAGCCACGGCUAACUACGUG
RNAcentral lists this ribosomal RNA (497 nucleotides) under uncultured bacterium. RNAcentral describes it as "partial 16S ribosomal RNA". It matches the Rfam family "Bacterial small subunit ribosomal RNA", at positions 28 to 507 of the family's 1533-position model. The record is from RNAcentral.